RNAcentral lists this ribosomal RNA (484 nucleotides) under uncultured bacterium. RNAcentral describes it as "partial 16S ribosomal RNA". It matches the Rfam family "Bacterial small subunit ribosomal RNA", at positions 30 to 507 of the family's 1533-position model. The record is from RNAcentral.
AUUGAACGCUGGCGGCAGGCCUAACACAUGCAAGUCGAGCGGAUGAAGGGAGCUUGCUCCUGGAUCCAGCGGCGGACGGGUGAGUAAUGCCUAGGAAUCUGCCUGGUAGUGGGGGAUAACGUCCGGAAACGGGCGCUAAUACCGCAUACGUCCUGAGGGAGAAAGUGGGGGAUCUUCGGACCUCACGCUAUCAGAUGAGCCUAGGUCGGAUUAGCUAGUUGGUGGGGUAAAGGCCUACCAAGGCGACGAUCCGUAACUGGUCUGAGAGGAUGAUCAGUCACACUGGAACUGAGACACGGUCCAGACUCCUACGGGAGGCAGCAGUGGGGAAUAUUGGACAAUGGGCGAAAGCCUGAUCCAGCCAUGCAGCGUGUGUGAAGAAGGUCUUCGGAUUGUAAAGCACUUUAAGUUGGGAGGAAGGGCAGUAAGUUAAUACCUUGCUGUUUUGACGUUACCAACAGAAUAAGCACCGGCUAACUUCGUG